CAUCCUCAUUUAAUAUAACCUGUUUUCAAAGGAUAUCUAUAAAAGGAAAUAGGCAAACUCACUGAGGGUUUUUGUUAACAUGGGCAGAUUGAUGAUAUUUAAACAAAUCUGUUAAUUACCUAAUUUCUUUGUCCCUUGAAUCUAGGGUAGAACAAUGCAAAAUUAUGUGCAGAUGGUAACAUACUGAAGUCAUAUUGCAUCUGAGGAAAAAAGCAGGUUGGCUCAUUAGGAAAAAAUAACAAUCAAAUUCAUAGGAGGUUAUGAUUCAUAGGCAGUUUUGUCUGUGUGAAAAGCAAGUAGAUGAAUGCUGGGCUGUUUUUCUUAAACACUUCUGGUACGAAUGCCCAUCAAUUGUGCUAACCUGACUUUCUUGACUGACUUUCUUUAUAGCCUGAUUCAUCACCAGCCAUUUAAGCAAAGAAUGUGGCUUGAUCCUUGCAAGUGCUUGAUAGCAUAACGGCAAGAGUAUUUCUUUCAUUAGUGAAUAAUGCUAAUUAAAGCUAAUCAACACAAGCAGAACAAAGAUGAAGCUCUAUAACUUUACUUAAACAAGCAGUGCUCGAAAUGAGCAAAGCAAAAGACCAAUUUUUUUUAAAAAGUGAGAGUUUAAAACACCCACCACUUUGAUCCUGCUUCAGGUGUUGUUUUUGGAACGAAACUAUUGUUCUCCUAUGCUGAGAAUUGGGCAAAGUAAAUAUGCCCCUGUUGGACUUCUCAGCAGAAUCUUAGCUACUAUAUGCCUUAGAUGGGAUUGGGAGGCAUCAUUUUGAAAUGGUUCCAGUUGUUUUUUGGAGUGGGGUAAGACCCUACUCCAGAAGACUCCAUUUCUGGUGGACACUUCAAUGGCAUAUGGUGACCCAUAAGGAUCAGCUUUGUUUCCUCAUUAUAUUUAGCAUCUACAUGGAAUCACUGGGACAAUUUUUGUGGGGGAGGGGGGAGUUUUGCAUCCCAGAAGCAAGACAGCAAGCUGGAAAGCCAGAGAGGCAGAGAAAUGGUUGAACUCUGCUGGAAUCCAAGGCUGUGGCUAUGGGAGAGGCAAGACCCUUUUGGGGUGUAAAUGCUGUGGACCCUCUACUGCAAGCUCAGGUUGUAUAUACAUGUAAAUAAACCAUAUAUCGUAAAGACACCACCAUCUCUGCUGUGCCUCAUUCCCAAAAGGAAACAAGAACCCUGGGUAAGCACUUGGAACCCCUGGAAUCUGGCACUGUUUGGAGUGGCGUGCAACAAUAUUAUAUAUCACAUAUUAUUAUGAUUUCUUACCCCCCCUUUCAUCCUAAGCUCCCCGGGCAAUUAAAUAUAACAAUUAAAACACAGUAUCAGAAACGCUUUAAUCUACUUCUCCCUACCUAAGUCUCAAAGCAGCUUACAAUGAUAAGAAAUAUACAAUAUAUAAAAUUUAAAUAUAUAAAUUCAGCCUCAGAAAUUUAAAGCCUCAGAAAUUUGAAAUCUCAGGAAUUUGAACGAAUAACAUCAGAAUAUUUUAAAACAUCAGGAAAGCAUUCAUGAUGCAAGGACCUUUUGAAAAAAAGUGCUUUAACCGAGUAUCUGAAACUCAGCAGGGAUGGUGCCUGUCUGACUUCCAGUAGGAGGAAGUUCCACAGAGAUGGCUCCACAACACAGAAGACACGACUUCUAAUACUAAUAGUGCUCCCCAGGGCUUUUUUCCCAGAGGGAACUCACUGGAACUCAGUUCCAGCAUCUCUUGGGUAGGUGCUGAGAAAGAGAGAGGUGUUCAUGGUGAGUUCCAGCACCUCUUUUUCUAGAAAAAUAGCACUGGUGCUUCCCCAGGUGAUCUCAGUGAUCCACUUGGAAUGUACAGGGUAAGGUGGUCCUUAGGCUGGAGCUCCUACUUCACCUGUACCUCAAAAUGUAAGACCUGGCCGCAGUAAUUCAUACAGCUUAGUUACAUGCAGGUUGGAUUAUUGUAGUAUGUUCAACAUGGAGUUGCCUUGAAGGUGACAUUGGUAGGGUUGCCAUAAUUCAAACAGUGAAAAUCCGGACGGAAAAGUUGUUGAGCUAGACACUGGGAAACUUUAAAAUGUAGCUGCAAGUCUCAUGCUCGUGGGUGCUUGGCCAUGGGGUCGUAUGUCACCCAUUCUACUACAACUGCACUAGUUGCCAAUGUAUUUCCAAGCAUAAGCCAUAGUGUUGGUGGUUAUCUUUAAAACCUUAAACGGCUUGGCUCUAAAAUACUCAAGGAACCACUUCUUCCUGCAACAGCCUGCCUAAUCUCUAUGUUCUGGUUUUUGUGUUCUCCUUCCUGCAACCAGCAUUAUGUAAGACCUUAUCCUGGGAGGUUUAUUUGGCCUCCUCCCUCACUGCUUUCCAUCGAUUGGUGAAAACAUUUCUGUUCCAGCAAGUUUCUGCCUGGCAGGUGGUGUAUUAUACAGUGCACUCUGUUCGGGGGGUUUGUAUGCUGUGCCUGUUUUAAUUUUUUAUAUUGGCUUGUUUUAUAUUGUUCUUUUAUUAUGGGAAUCAAUAGUUAGCAUCUGGACAGCAUACUGUAUUUUAGCCGUCAGCUGCUCUUAGCAGUGCAAAAGCAUUCGAAGGGUGAGGUACACAUUUCUAAAUAAAUAAUCCAUAUUUCCUUUAUCAACAUCCAUGCUCCAGUCUAGAGUCAGAAAACUCUCUCUCUCUCUCUCUCUCUCUCUCUCUCUCUCUCUCUCUCUCUCUCACACACACACACACACACACACACGGCUUCUUUUAUGCUGAAGGGAUUAUUCAUUCACUUCACUAGAGCAGAAAAUGUCCCUCUUGGUCCCCUUACUUUCUCUUCAGUUGAAACGAAUGAAGAUGUCUCUUCAUGCAAUAACUUCUUCACUAUCAUCAUCAUCAUUAAUGUGCUCAUAGAAGUAGUUAGGCUGUGAACAAGGGCUAAGGCUGCAAUUCAGGUAAAUUCAUUUACCUGAGAGCAAGCCCUAUGGAACUCAAUGAGACUUCCUUCUGAGUAGGCAUGUCAAAUUUAAACAACAAUAAUAAUUCCCUCUCCAUCUUCCCACACAGUGAUUUACCAAGUGAACUUUAAAAGAUUUGCAAAGUAGUCAUUGUUGUUAGACCUCUAUUAUUUAUUAAUUUAACAUCCUUUUUUAAAAGAAUGAAUGAACGAAACACUUUCCCAAGGCAACUCACAGCAUUAAAAUAGCGUAACAGCAACACACCAAUUAAAUAUGUUCGUGGCUGCAACAGCAUAACUAUAUACAAAAGCACCAUAAAACACACUUGUAAAAAGCCUUAUGGGUUGUUUUGAAAUUAAGUUCUCAAUGGGCAUCUAAAGACAGGAAAAGGGGAGGCUUGAUGAGUUUCCCUGGGUAGAAAGUUCUAUAGCUGUGCAGAUACCAUUGAAGGUUGUCUUCUUGGGAUCUGCCUGUUCAGUUCUAGCUAGUGAUGGGCUGGAGAAUAGGGCCGCAGAAGGCUUGGAUAGGUUUCUAUAGGUGCAUGCUUUCAAGGUGGUCGUUCCAAUGGCAAAAGUAACAAAGACUUCAGUGCCAUAUGAUCAAGACUUGUCAACUGGAAUUAAUAAAGGCUGAGGUAUCGCCUUAUUUCUCUGAGGAUCCCAAAGAAGUAUGGAACAAAGCUUUCCCAUAUGUUUCAGCAGCAGCCCUGAAUGCACACAUUUAUCCUGUGAAAAGAUUGCCACUAGUCACCUACAGUACUGAAUCAAAGUUCUCCAUUAAAAUUGCCUCAAAGUGAAAUUACUAUGUCACCAUUUCAGAAGGAUUAGUGGGCACUGCACAUUAGUCUUUCACUUUCCAAAGGAGCAUUGGACUUCCAAUACAUUCCUGAUUUCACCCAACCUCUUUUAAAUUCCCCCCCCCCUUAAAUGGAGGAUUCAGAGACAACAGGAGGGUGAUGGCAACCAGUUGUGCACUGGUAGCAAGGAAUGAAUGUACCAAUCUAUCUGUGACUGAACCCAAGAAUAAAUGGGUGAGAUGUGAGGAGUUGAACUAGGGUCAUAUUUUAUUUAAACUAAAUCUACAGAGUGGGAACCUAACUUAAGCUCAACCUUGGGUGAGUCAAGCCCUGCCCAUUUCAAGGCGCAUGACAAGACUCAGCUCCAAAGCAAGGGCCCCUUCCUGCCCAACCCUAUCCAAGGCCCCAUAACUCAGGGAAGAUGUGGCAGGUGGGUCUCCAGAACAGGCUAAGGGCUUGUCCACACCAGGCCUAGGAAGCAUGGGCCAGAGUGGUUUUCAGCUUGUCCUGUGCUAUCUAGACAUGGGUCCAAGUGGUUUUGCCUUUGCCCUUCUGCUUUCCCUCCAGGAAACCUGCUCUGUGGAAAACUCGAUUGCCAUUUGAUAUGAUUCAGCACUAAAGCAUGGGUUUUCCAGGGGAAAGAAGUGGGGCAAAUGGAAGUGUUGAUGAACCCUAUGACCUUCACAAUACAUAGCAGUGCCUAAGGGUGCUCACCUGUUGCCUUAUCUAACCUUAACCUUUCCCACACCUCCUUGCCAGCAAUAUAACUGACUUAACCAUGAAACCACGCCUAUCUAUUUAACCUCUAAAUAUGAACACCUCCUGAAUCCAGUACAGAGUAGGGGGGGGGAACCCGUUUGCCCAAAUGUGCAAGCAGGCAAAAAUAUUCUACUCAGAUUCAUAUGUAAAGCUCUCAGCUGAAAGAACAUUGUGAUGUUGCAUCAAUGAUUUACAUGGACAGAUCGCUCAUAUGCCAUUUGAUUGUGAUCUAAAACUGGAGGAAUUUUUCUAACUUUCUGUUUUUCUUCUAAAUGCCAGAUUGCCACACAUUACAUUGUUCCAAAUGGCUGUCUAUUACUAGGCAGCUCUCUUGGAUGAUCUCUGAAAUUGGAUUGAGGAGCCAACCACCUUUGGUAGCCAUUUUCAUGGAAGACGUUACAAUGAUUUAUGUCAACUUAUUCUACGGAGCAGCAACCAAGGAAAAUGAUUCCUGGCACUCAGGGGUCUUUUGGUUUGCAAACUAUCCAUUUUCAUAGCAGAUUACUGUUUUAUGAGGCUCUUUAUCCCCCAAAAAAGCUUUCUGUUAGAAAUGAUAAAUGGCUUUUCUUU
This is a non-coding RNA of Podarcis lilfordi (Lilford's wall lizard), 5022 nucleotides long. The record is from the annotation of a GenBank genome assembly. Lineage: Eukaryota; Metazoa; Chordata; Lepidosauria; Squamata; Lacertidae.